Molecule: transfer RNA, 67 nt
Filed under: Paenibacillus macerans
Lineage: Bacteria; Bacillati; Bacillota; Bacilli; Caryophanales; Paenibacillaceae
Description: tRNA-Ala
Rfam family: tRNA
About the family: Transfer RNA (tRNA) molecules are approximately 80 nucleotides in length. Their secondary structure includes four short double-helical elements and three loops (D, anti-codon, and T loops).
Source: RNAcentral
AUAGCUCAGUUGGGAGAGCGCUUGAAUGGCAUUCAAGAGGUCAUGGGUUCGAAUCCCAUUAUCUCCA